RNAcentral lists this ribosomal RNA (685 nucleotides) under Russula sp. 10036. Its description in RNAcentral is "eukaryotic LSU rRNA". The stretch from base 217 to 370 matches the Rfam family "5.8S ribosomal RNA". Lineage: Eukaryota; Fungi; Basidiomycota; Agaricomycetes; Russulales; Russulaceae. The record is from RNAcentral.
GUACCUGCGGAAGGAUCAUUAUCGUACAACAGAGGUGUAAGGGCUGUUGCUGACCCUUAAAGGUCGUGCACGCCUAAGCCCUCUUACACAAUCCAUUUCACCCCUUUUGUGCAUCACCGCGUGGGUCCUCCCUUUGCCAGGAGGGCCUGCGUUUUUAUAUAAAACUUGACACGAUGUGGAAUGUUUUCUUCUUUUGCGAUUAUAUGCAAUCAAUACAACUUUCAACAACGGAUCUCUUGGCUCUCGCAUCGAUGAAGAACGCAGCGAAAUGCGAUACGUAAUGUGAAUUGCAGAAUUCAGUGAAUCAUCGAAUCUUUGAACGCACCUUGCGCCCCUUGGCAUUCCGAGGGGCACACCCGUUUGAGUGUCGUGAAAUUCUCAAAGCCCCCUUUUUCUUUGGAAAAAGGAGUUUUGGACUUGGAGGUUCAAUGCUUGCAUUUCACUUUUGAAAGCGAGCUCCUCUCAAAUGAAUUAGUGGGGUCCGCUUUGCUGAUCCUCAACGUGAUAAGAUGUUUCUAUGUUUUGGAUUUGGCACUGUCCCUUGGAUGCCUGCUUCUAACCGUCUCACGGACAAUGAUGGUGCUCCGGUCACUACCGUUUAUAUCGGUGGAAGGCUGGACCCACAAAAAUAAAACCUUGACCUCAAAUCGGGUGAGACUACCCGCUGAACUUAAGCAUAUCAUAG